ACAGCCAAAUCAUGUUGAAACACAGGUUCUCGUAAGAUCACUGAAGUUAAGCAAAAUUGAGCCUGGUCAGUGCCAAAAUGGCUGACCGCUUGGGAAUAGCAAGUGCUGUAAG
Acanthosepion pharaonis is the source of this 112-nucleotide non-coding RNA. The record is from the annotation of a GenBank genome assembly. Lineage: Eukaryota; Metazoa; Mollusca; Cephalopoda; Sepiida; Sepiidae.